CAUAGCGACUAUCGUGGCAUAUCAAUAAGCGGAGGAAAAGAAACUAACAAGGAUUCCCUUAGUAACGGCGAGUGAAGCGGGAAGAGCUCAAAUUUGAAAUCUUCAAGGUUUUACCUUGACGAAUUGUAGUUUAAAGAAGUGUUUUCUGUUGGAGUUUUGGUAAAAGUUCUUUGGAAUAGGACAUCAUAGAGGGUGAGAAUCCCGUAUUUGACCAUUAUUUCCAGCUGUGUGAUACACUUUCAAAGAGUCGGAUUGUUUGGGAAUGCAGUCCAAAAUGGGUGGUAAAUUUCAUCUAAAGCUAAAUAUUGGCGAGAGACCGAUAGCGAACAAGUACCGUGAGGGAAAGAUGAAAAGAACUUUGAAAAGAGAGUUAAACAGUACGUGAAAUUGUCAAAAGGGAAGCGUUUGACACCAGUGUUGUUUUUCCGAAAAUCAAUUAAAAAUUGAUUCAUGCUAGGUUGUAUUGACCUCAUCAGCUUGCAAUUUAGUUUUGGGUCUCUUUUUGAUGCACUCUUCGGUUAACAAGUCAACAUCAAUUUCCUUUGUUGUAAAAGGGUAUGAGGAAGGUGGCUUUCUUUUCGGAGAAAGUGUUUAUAGCCUUGUGCCUCUGCAAUCGGAGAGAUUGAGGUCUGCAGCGUAGAUCCUUCGGGGUUAGAUACGUUUGUGCUAAGUUAUAGCUUUUCAUAGACAACUUGUUGACUAUGUUUAGUCUUGUAGCUUACUCGCUGACGCUAUUUUACCUACGCUUAGGAUGUUGAUAUGCAUGACUGAUAU
This 774-nucleotide ribosomal RNA is filed under the name uncultured Neocallimastigales. RNAcentral describes it as "partial large subunit ribosomal RNA". It matches the Rfam family "Eukaryotic large subunit ribosomal RNA", at positions 22 to 640 of the family's 3401-position model. The record is from RNAcentral. Lineage: Eukaryota; Fungi; Neocallimastigomycota; Neocallimastigomycetes; Neocallimastigales.